CCGGCGCACGGGUGAGUAUCGCGUUUGUAACCUACCUUUAACUGGAGCAUAGCCCGAAGAAAUUCGGAUUAAUACUCCAUAAUACUAUGAACUGGCAUCUUUUUAUAGUUAAAGCUCCGGCGGUUAAAGAUGGACAUGCGUAACAUUAGUUUGUUGGUGAGGUAACGGCUCACCAAGACUACGAUGUUUAGGGGGUCUGAGAGGAUGAUCCCCCACACUGGUACUGAGACACGGACCAGACUCCUACGGGAGGCAGCAGUGAGGAAUAUUGGUCAAUGGGCGCAAGCCUGAACCAGCCAUGCCGCGUGAAGGAUGACGGCGCUACGCGUUGUAAACUUCUUUUGUACAGGAAGAAACGCUUCUACGUGUAGAAGUUUGACGGUACUGUGCGAAUAAGCAUCGGCUAACUCCGUGCCAGCAGCCGCGGUAAUACGGAGGAUGCAAGCGUUAUCCGGAUUUAUUGGGUUUAAAGGGUACGUAGGCGGAGAACUAAGUCAGUAGUGAAAUCCCGCAGCUUAACUGUGGAACUGUUAUUGAUACUGGUUUUCUUGAAUGUAGUUGAAGUAGGC
This 569-nucleotide ribosomal RNA is filed under the name uncultured Bacteroidota bacterium. RNAcentral describes it as "bacterial SSU rRNA". It matches the Rfam family "Bacterial small subunit ribosomal RNA", at positions 95 to 662 of the family's 1533-position model. The record is from RNAcentral. Lineage: Bacteria; Pseudomonadati; Bacteroidota.